RNAcentral lists this ribosomal RNA (1547 nucleotides) under uncultured bacterium. Its description in RNAcentral is "bacterial SSU rRNA". It matches the Rfam family "Bacterial small subunit ribosomal RNA". The record is from RNAcentral.
AGAGUUUGAUCCUGGCUCAGAACGAACGCUGGCGGCGUGCCUAAUACAUGCAAGUCGAACGAUGAAGUCCUUCGGGACAUAUCAGUGGCGUACGGGUGAGUAACACGUAAGCAAUUUGCCUUAUGGACUGGGAUAACAUCGCGAAAGCGAUGCUAAUACCGGAUGAUGUCGCGAAAUCGCAUGGUAUUGCGACCAAACGGAGGCCUCUUUUUAUGCUUCUGCCGUGAGAUAAGCUUGCGUCCCAUUAGCUAGUUGGUGUGGUAAUGGCGCACCAAGGCUGAGAUGGGUAGCCGGCCUGAGAGGGUGAACGGCCACACUGGAACUGAGACACGGUCCAGACUCCUACGGGAGGCAGCAGUAGGGAAUAUUGGGCAAUGGGCGCAAGCCUGACCCAGCAACGCCGCGUGGGUGAUGAAGCCUUUCGAGGUGUAAAGCCCUUUUGAGAGGGAAGAAGGUGUAAGUGGAGUAAUACGCCACUUUACUGACGGUACCGUUCGAAUAAGCCCCGGCUAACUCCGUGCCAGCAGCCGCGGUAAUACGGGGGGGGCAAGCGUUGUUCGGAAUUACUGGGCGUAAAGGGCGCGUAGGCGGCCUGACAAGUUGAAUGUGGAAUUUCUUGGCUUAACCGAGAAAUUGCGUUCAAAACUGUCAGGCUAGAGUAUGGGAGAGGAGAGCGGAAUUCCCAGUGUAGCGGUGAAAUGCGUAGAUAUUGGGAGGAACAUCGGUGGCGAAGGCGGCUCUCUGGAACAUAACUGACGCUGAGGCGCGAAAGCGUGGGGAGCAAACAGGAUUAGAUACCCUGGUAGUCCACGCUAUAAACGAUGGGCACUAGGUGUAGCGGGUAUUUACCCCCGCUGUGCCGGAGCUAACGCAUUAAGUGCCCCGCCUGGGGAGUACGUACGCAAGUAUGAAACUCAAAGGAAUUGACGGGGGCCCGCACAAGCGGUGGAGCAUGUGGUUUAAUUCGACGCAACGCGAAGAACCUUACCUGGGUUUGACAUGUAAUUGCCGAGCAGUGAAAGCUGUUUUUCCUUCGGGACGAUUACACAGGUGCUGCAUGGCUGUCGUCAGCUCGUGUCGUGAGAUGUUGGGUUAAGUCCCGCAACGAGCGCAACCCUUACCCUUAGUUGCCAGCGGGUAAUGCCGGGAACUCUAGGGGAACUGCCGGUGAUAAACCGGAGGAAGGUGGGGAUGACGUCAAGUCCUCAUGGCCCUUACGCCCAGGGCUACACACGUGCUACAAUGGCCGGUACAAAGGGGUGCAAUACCGCGAGGUGGAGCCAAUCCCAAAAAACCGGUCUCAGUUCGGAUUGGAGUCUGCAACUCGACUCCAUGAAGUUGGAAUCGCUAGUAAUCGUGGAUCAGCAUGCCACGGUGAAUACGUUCCCGGGCCUUGUACACACCGCCCGUCACACCACGAAAGUUGAUGGUACUAGAAGCCGGUGGGCUAACUCUUCGGAGAGGCAGCCGUCCAAGGUACGAUUAGCGAUUGGGGUGAAGUCGUAACAAGGUAGCUGUAGGAGAACCUGCGGCUGGAUCACCUCCUU